GGCUUGAUGGUAUAGCGGGAACACAGCUGUUCAAUAUCUGAAGGACCAAUGAAUUACAACAGGAGUCCAUUGUUCGAUUCAAGGUCAAGCCA
Non-coding RNA from Mycena latifolia, 92 nucleotides. Lineage: Eukaryota; Fungi; Basidiomycota; Agaricomycetes; Agaricales; Mycenaceae. The record is from the annotation of a GenBank genome assembly.